AAUCAACGCUGGCGGCGUGCCUCAGACAUGCAAGUCGAACGCGAAAGUUUCCUUCGGGAGACAAGUAGAGUGGCGCACGGGUGAGUAACACGUAGGUAAUCUACCUUUGGAUGGGGAAUAACAACCGGAAACGGUUGCUAAUACCGCAUAAUGCAGCGGCACCUAAUGGUGACAGUUGUUAAAAGCGGGGGAUCGAAAGACCUCGCGUCUGAAGAGGAGCCUGCGGCGGAUUAGCAGUUGGUAAGGUAAUGGCUUACCAAGGCUACGAUCCGUAACCGGCCUGAGAGGGCGGUCGGUCACACUGACACUGACAUACGGGUCAGACUCCUACGGGAGGCAGCAGUCGGGAAUUUUGGGCAAUGGGCGAAAGCCUGACCCAGCAACGCCGCGUGAAGGA
Molecule: ribosomal RNA, 397 nt
Filed under: uncultured bacterium
Lineage: Bacteria
Description: bacterial SSU rRNA
Rfam family: Bacterial small subunit ribosomal RNA
Source: RNAcentral